Molecule: unclassified non-coding RNA, 333 nt
Filed under: soil metagenome
Description: partial contains 5.8S ribosomal RNA, internal transcribed spacer 2, and large subunit ribosomal RNA
Rfam family: 5.8S ribosomal RNA (bases 5-119)
Source: RNAcentral
GAUGAGAACGCAGCGAAAUGCGAUAAGUAAUGUGAAUUGCAGAAUUCAGUGAAUCAUCGAAUCUUUGAACGCACAUUGCGCCCCCCAGUAUUCUGGCGGGCAUGCCUGUUCGAGCGUCAUUUCAACCAUCAAGCCCUGCUUGUGUUGGGGUCCUGCGGCUGCCCGCAGGCCCUGAAAACCAGUGGCGGGCUCGCUAGUCACACCGAGCGCAGUAGCACAUCUCGCUCAGGGCGUGCGGCGGGCUCCAGCCGUUAAAGCACCCACCUUUCGCAAGGUUGACCUCGGAUCAGGUAGGAAUACCCGCUGAACUUAAGCAUAUCAAUAAGCGGAGGA